GCAACAGCCAGCGCGGCUCCUGGAGGGAAACGAGCAAGGCGGCCCCGCAGGUGUGGCGCGGCCCUGGGAGGGCGCGUGCGAGCGCUGCUUUGUUUGGUGCCCGCACAGCCCCGGGCUCCAGGCCUGAGCGCCAACCUUCCCGAGCUGAGUCACGGCUGCAGAGCCCGAGGGCGGCCAUACGGCCCCGCCCGGAAGGAUGAGGCCCCUUCCUGAAGCUGGCGAGUCCGAUGCGGUGGCAGGGACAAAAGCCAGGGGAAGGUGGCUUCUAUUCUACAAAGCCCUUUAGGGAAGGGGGGAGUCAGGCCGCCCUCACCCAGUGCAGGUCCGUCACGAUGGUCACCCAGAGCACUCACGCAGAAAGCCAGCUUGCAGCCGCCAGCCCUGAGGAUGCCGCCCCCAAAGGGCUCAUUGCUCUAAUCACCCGUCCAGGGGCUUGAGGCAAAGCUCCAAGACAGACCUGUAGCAGCAUGGCCCAAAAAGUUCCUCUGCUGCCCCAGUCCCAUACCUGCCUGAGGUACGGGGGUUCAGGCUGAGUCGGCUGACCUGGAGUCAUCUGGAAGCCUUGUCAGAAAUGCAGAUUCUGCAGUGCUGUUCCCAGAGGAUGAGAUUCAGCAGAACUGGGUGUUGGAUAUUAUAUGAAGAGAUUUGCAAGUGUUAUUUUACGUAAUUCGCACUUUACAAAGGAGGAAACUGCAGCGCAGGUACCAAGGUUGCCCCAUCUCGGUCCAGGCCUGCUCCCGGCGAGCCACUCGCCCUUGACCACGCCUCCUCUCUCCUGAUUGGCUGUCAGGCAUGAGUCGACAGAGAAAGAUGACCACUGCCCUCACCCCACUAAAGAAGCCCCAGCACUUAGCAAGCACUUAUGGCCC
Molecule: long non-coding RNA, 869 nt
Filed under: Homo sapiens (human)
Lineage: Eukaryota; Metazoa; Chordata; Mammalia; Primates; Hominidae
Description: HSALNT0348740
Source: RNAcentral